AAUUUUCUUUUACAUAUGUCACUAUUUUGCAACUAUAUGCCUUUAGAUAGUUACAGUUUAGUCGCACAAUUUGGCUCUAAGGUCCAAUGUUUUUUAAUAUAGCGCUCAUUUUCUAGGGAAUAGAUUUUCGAUACCCAAAUCGUCUUUCUUCAUUUUAGACCUUUAUGUUCAUCAUUUUUUUCUUUUCUUCACACUCCAAUCUCAGAAUUUUCUCUUCACCUAAUUUUGAUUGUCUUCACACUCCAGUUUGCUAAAGUCUUUAGAUAAUCACACUUCAUACUCAGAAUUAUGUAUAACAUGAAAAGGUUGGUGUUUGGUGACAGUUGAUCUUUGGUCUGAGAUAAUUAGAUCAGAGGAAGAAGACGGAGAUGGGUUCAGAGAAGUACCUCAGGUCGAGGUUUAUCAGAGAAGGAAGAGGCUUGAGAAGCCUUCCGCAGCCGAAAAUUUGUAAUUUUGGGGAAAAAAAAACCUUCCGUUUGUUGUUGUUUUCGGCUCUGUAAUCUAACAAUGUUUUAAUUUCGAUGUGUGUCUGAGAAACAGAGUGUGGUCGGUGAAAGGGGCUCGAACUAGUUUUAUCAAUGGACCCAAGAGAGAUACUGGACUCGUUCCCUCUCCACCAGAGGGAGGGGAGUAUAGCAGUGGGAGCUUAUGUCAACAAUCAGCCUCAGAAGAAGCCUGUUAGGAGAAAGAAGCCUGCACCACUCGGUAAUGGGUUCUCUCCUUUUCUCCUUCAUAUUGUAGAUUUGGGUUCUUCUAAUUCUAGAUGUUUAAUAAAAUAAAAUUGUGUGGUCUCUUUGAUUUGUGGAUUUGUACGAAGGUAAUGUCGUUCCUUCAGUCGGUGGAGUCUGGUGUUUUUUGAGCUUGUAAGUGUCAAAUGGUGAGCACUCACUUUAUCUUAGCUCCUUGCCUGCGAUCCAUUUGAUUAUUAGGUCUUUCCUUUCCCAUCCAAUGAUGCCCGGUCUAAUUCCAGAGAAGAAUACCUGCAAACACACAUAUCCAGUUCAUAUUUGCAAAAGUUUGGUCUUAAUGGUUCCGGUUCGAAACUGAAACGAAAGAUUUUAAAGUCGACUUCUUCUGCAUUUAUAGGAAUUUAAAAUAUUUCAAUUGUUGUAUUUCUAUCUUUUGAUUUUCAAAUUAAGUUCGAAGUUAAUAUAUAAAUUCUGAUUCCAAAACUAAUAUUAUAAUAAAUUUUUAUUUCUAAAUUAAUAUUUUUUUUUAAACAAGAAAUUCAAUUUAAUUUUUUAUUGGUCACUAAAUUAUGCAACUAAUUUAUAAGCAUAUAUCAAUAAUGUGGCUGCUAAAUAGUCGCAAACCACUGCAACUAAUUUGUAACUAAAAAUAAAUAUUGUAGUAACAAAUUAGUUACUUAAAUUAGCCACUAACUUAUAAAUCUACAUUAUAAUAGGGCAGUUGCAUCACUCCUGAUGCGACACGUCAGUAAUAUGUGGAUCCCACUUUUAAAAAGUGUGAAAAAGUGUCAAGUCUGUGACUCGAACCCGGGUUAUUAAGAUCUAAACAACAACAAUUAUACCACUGAGCUAAAGGAUUCUUUGUACAUUGAUGGCUGACACAAAUAUAUAUUUAUGAUGGUCGGAAACCUUUGCUUCUUCGGUUUUCUCUGUGGGACCCACACUUAUUUAUUUUAUCUAAUGAUUUAAUAAAUACUUUAUAACUCACGUUUUGAAAUGAGAUUCGUUAAAAAAAGCCCAAUAAACCUCUUUGGUCUGUAAGCGUUCUCUUCAAUGGAAGUUUAGGGCUUUCAAUUUUUAAUCAUCGGUUCAUGACUCAUCUAAGAAAUACAGAUUGACUCUUUGAGUUUCAUGAAUCAAUUUUUCUUCUUUAGUCUCUACAUCUCCCCAUCUUUAAUAAAUUCAUCAUCGGUUCUUUUAUUUUGCCUGAUAAAUCAUGAUUGUGUGGUUUUAAUUUUCUUUGGUCAUCGUCAUCCUUAGCUUGCACCCUUUGAUCUAACCAAGAAGAAGAAGACAUUUGUCGUUCAGGAUGCCAUCGAGGACUCAGCUGAGUCACACGGGAGACAUACUAUUUGUUGCCUGAUUGUUCAAGAAGAGUUUAUGUGCUGUGAAACAUAUUUGUUUCUUUUCAUCAGUUGCUUUGUUUAAUCUUUUUUCCUGCAAAUAAUGAUGGUUUUGACAGUUCAUUCACGGGAGCCAAGAAGUAAAAGAAGAAGAAGCCAGUUGAAUGAAGAUCAUUGAAUAAAAAAAAUGUCGAUGCUCCUGAAGAUUUGGAGGAGUAUCCUAAUGAUGAGGAAGAGGUGGAGGGAAUUGAUAUGCACCAGCAACGUUACCCGUGGGAGGAAAGUGACAUGGAUUACUUAUACGACGAGGUAAGCAUAUCGUUAGAUGGUUUGCGGUCCAUCUUUGAGAGUCGUCGAUUGUAAGUGUCUAUCGUUUUGAAGUUGUACGACACUAAGAUGUAAAGAAUUACUAAUCAUGAUUACCUUACUAGCAGAGUUCUUUUGCACAGCUAUUGUAAAUGAAAUUAACACUGAAAAUUGAUGGUGCUAUAUUUCAUGUUCCAAAUGCUAACACAAGCUCCAAUGUUGAUUCUCAGCUUUAACAUGCCAAAAUCACAAUGCAAUGGGUGUUGUAAGGUAAUUCAGUAGGCACAAAUGUUUAGUAGAAAUAUGCAUCAAACUUAUCAUCCGUAACAUAAUAAUAUGCAUUUUCUGUGCUAGGAACCGUUUGUAAAUAAAUGUCUGGGAUGUAUAUGACUGCUUAGUUUGUUGCUUUUGACAGUGAAAUCACUAAGCUUGCAAAGUGUCAGGACAACAAAAGCAUCUCAGCUGAUGGUUAGCUUUACAAUUUCGUUGGUUUCUUUUUCCUAUUAUGUUGGGUGGAUUAUUUUAGCUAACAAAUAUCGCAACAGAGUGCUGACAAUAACUCUAAUUGAUUUAUAUAUACAUUUAGAAUUGGAAGUUUGGUGAGAACAGGAACAAGUACUUCUGUUACGCUAUUGGACAGUUAUACGCCAUUUCAAGAGAAUUGAUUUCUUUUUAUCUCAUAAUCAGUAAGAUUUUAACUGUUUUGUCUACUUUGCAUUCAUACCUCAUUCUCCAUCUAACUUCUCGGUGCUACUAUAUAAUGAUCAAGUCAUUUUCUGCACAAAUAGGCAAGUGGGGAUGUUACGUUGGGUGCUUGGUUUAUUGGGCUUGGCUAUACAAAGUCUGUUGUGACUCUAAAACUUUUACCUCAUUUAACAUUGAUUCUGGUUCUUGGGAGAAUUACAGAUUGUGAAUGAAAGGCACAAGCAAGGAACAUAUGUGUAGCUGCGUUCAACUCGACAUGUAGCGGUAUCUGCAGAUCCGCUGAUCCCAUUGUGGAGGUUAACAUGCAAUGUGUUGACCUGGAAAUCAUUAUUUGGAAGCUACAUUUCGAGGCAUUUUCUUAACAUAUAAAUAGACCAUAGACAGAGUUUGAUAUUUAUAAUACUCAGUGAUCAUGGAGUCUACAGAAAACAGUCCUUUUGCAUAUUCUAUAUGGAACCAAGAGAUAUGUCAUUUGUUUGAUGAUUGUAUUAUGAUAGCUACUAACAUAGGAGAUGACUGGAGAAAGAGAAAUGAGUAUGAAACUCUUAUAUGGGUAGCUUUUGUAAACACAUUUGGGUUUAUUAACAGUUGUGACAAGAAAUUAUGUUUAUAGUAAAAGAAAUCCGCCGCAGCGUCAAUAACAAAUGCGCCUGUUUUUUUGUUGUUUGGGAUUGAAAUAGCUUAUGGGUUUUCUAAAUCAAUAUAAUUGAUUUGACUAAAGCUAUAUUGGAUGACAAAAAGAAGGAUUGCAAGUUUAAUAACUUCUGCUUUAGACUUUAAUUUCAACUAAAUUAUAAUCAGUCUUUUAUCCAUCAUCUUAGUUAUAAUCGUAAGGAUUUAUUAGACUAAAUAAACAGUUUCAACAAUAUUUAAUAUGUGAUUUAAUAAACAAAAGAACAUGUAUGAUUUUUAGGAUUUAAAGAGAUUGGAGACAAUAGUUAAUGAAUAUAUAAAGAAUACGAAGCAGAUGAUGAAAAAUGAUUCGAGCAAAUUAGUGGCAACACAGAGCUAAGCG
This is a long non-coding RNA of Brassica napus (rape), 4058 nucleotides long. RefSeq lists it as uncharacterized. The record is from RefSeq and is a predicted model, not a curated record. NCBI's taxonomy places the organism in Eukaryota, Viridiplantae, Streptophyta, Magnoliopsida, Brassicales, Brassicaceae. The transcript is spliced from 5 exons.